GGCCUCUCUCCCGUUAGGCUUUUGGGAAUGGGUUGGGUUUUUUUGUUGUUGUUGUUUUGUUUUUCUUCUCAGUGGGGGCUAAAGGUCAGAAUCAACCUUGAGAAUAAUUAACAGAACCACCAAGCACUGGAAGCCUUGUUUUCUUGCCUCAAACAUAA
Non-coding RNA from Peromyscus eremicus (cactus mouse), 158 nucleotides. The record is from RefSeq and is a predicted model, not a curated record. NCBI's taxonomy places the organism in Eukaryota, Metazoa, Chordata, Mammalia, Rodentia, Cricetidae.